UUGUUGAUUUGUUGGUGGCCUAUUAAACAAACUGAUUAUAAUAGAAAUGGCCAGGCUGCUCAGAUCAGUUAGUAUAAUCCGUCGAGCACCAAAGACAUCACCAUAAAUCCCUUUAGCACAGAAACAAACCAGAUUUACCAGUAACGGUUCAUUUAAUUUGAAUCUAAAAUAUGAGUAGGUUAAAUGUGUAUCAGAUUAAUCAGUGUUUACUUUUUUUUUUUUUUGGUUGAAGUUAACAAGGAACUCCUCUUGGGUACUUCCAUGGUUCCUCUUGGAAAUAUUUGAGAAUGGUGAGAAUCACCUGGAUACUUUACUUUGCGCCAGCACACACACUGAGACCUUCCAACAGUCAUAUACUGACAUAUGACCCAGUAUUAAAUACAACUUGUAUAUAGCUAUCUUUCCUGUACACAUCAGACUACAUGUACCAUGUGGAGCUACAGCAAACCUGUCCUCCAAAACUUGUGAUAGCCAAGUGAGAGGGGCUCAGGUGCUAGAGAUGCAGGAGUUUACUAACGAACGUUGCCCAGUUGGCCAGUAAACAUCUUACUGGAGCUGCCAAACUGAGGUCUGUCUCUCCACUGCACCCUAUGGACACACAGCUGUGUAUUACAGCACGCUUCAGGAAUCCCACCAUGGCUUCUGCUCAAUCAAA
Ictalurus punctatus (channel catfish) is the source of this 655-nucleotide long non-coding RNA. NCBI's taxonomy places the organism in Eukaryota, Metazoa, Chordata, Actinopteri, Siluriformes, Ictaluridae. The record is from Ensembl.